CAGAAGAUGACGGAGCGGAGCCGCUGCCACUGCUGCGUGAGGUAACUGGGAUGGAUCUGCGCAAAGAACACGGCCAGGAUCAUGCCGAGCACGGUGAUCAGUGUUUGUGAAAUGACUUACCUGGAAGCAGAAAAGACAAAUAGAACAAAUUACAAAAUCUUCUCUGGAUGCACUUGCCGAAGGUCCCAUAGUUGUUAAGUGGCAAAUCUGGAUGCUCAAGUUUUAGACUCAACAGCCCAGGAUCUAAAGCACUGGAUUUCAUUUCUCCAUUCAUAAGAUUUGGAUUCUAAUAAGAAUGCAGAGGCUCGCU
Molecule: long non-coding RNA, 310 nt
Organism: Molossus molossus (Pallas's mastiff bat)
Lineage: Eukaryota; Metazoa; Chordata; Mammalia; Chiroptera; Molossidae
Exons: 3
Source: RefSeq, a predicted model, not a curated record